Small nuclear RNA from Homo sapiens (human), 107 nucleotides. Lineage: Eukaryota; Metazoa; Chordata; Mammalia; Primates; Hominidae. The record is from Ensembl.
AUGCUCACUUCGGCAGCACAUAUGCUAAAACUGGAAACAUACAGAGAAGAUUAGCAUGGCCCCUGAGCAAGGAUGACACGCAAAUUCGUGAAGUGCUCCAUAUUUUC